Solanum stenotomum is the source of this 376-nucleotide long non-coding RNA. RefSeq lists it as uncharacterized. The record is from RefSeq and is a predicted model, not a curated record. The transcript is spliced from 4 exons. NCBI's taxonomy places the organism in Eukaryota, Viridiplantae, Streptophyta, Magnoliopsida, Solanales, Solanaceae.
UCCAUCUCAUCUCCAUCCCUGUCCGAUCCAUUUUUCUUUCUUCUUCCCACUCGUCGGGCGGAGGGAGAGCCUCUUGGGAGCCUGCAGGGGCCUCACAGUAUUUGGAGUUUUUCAAUCGUACUGAACUUUUUGCGGACAUUGUCAUUGAGCAUGAGUAUGUUGAGUGCACUGGUGCAUCAAUCCAAGCACUAGUUCUGUUUAAAAAGUUAUACCCUGUACACCGGACCACAGAGAUUGACAAUUUCAUUGAUAAUGCUGUUAAAUAUCUUAAUGAUGUACAGAAGCCUGAUGGUUCAUGGUAUGGUUCCUGGGGUGUGUGCUUUACAUAUGCUUCCUGGUUUGCUCUUGGAGGGCUUGCUGCAGCAGGCAAGAGUUA